This 435-nucleotide ribosomal RNA is filed under the name uncultured eukaryote. RNAcentral describes it as "eukaryotic LSU rRNA". It matches the Rfam family "Eukaryotic large subunit ribosomal RNA", at positions 1465 to 1888 of the family's 3401-position model. The record is from RNAcentral.
GUAGACUAAAUAUUCAAAUGAGAACUUUGAAGGCCGAAGUGGAGAAGGGUUCCAUGAGAACAGCAUUUGGUCAUGGGUUACUCGCUCCUAAGACAUAGGGAAAUUCCUUGUAAUACACGUGCUCUUACGAGUACGAAGUCGAAAGGGAAUGAGGUUAAUAUUCCUCAAGUAGGGGUGUGGGGAUGAAAUGUGGCAACACAAAAUGAGCUUGGAGACAUCGGUAUGUACCCCUGGAAGAGUUCUCUUUUCUUCUUAACAGUUUAUCUCCCUGAAUGAAUUAUUCAGAGAUAGGGAUGUAUAACUGGCAGAGCAGCUCACUUUCGGGCUGUCAGGUGUGUUCAUAACGAUCCUUGAAAAUCCAAGGGGAGAUGUUCAUAUCCCCCCCUAGGCGUACCCAUAACCGCAUCAGGUCUCCAAGGUUAGCAGCCUCUGGUC